GGCCCUGUAGUGUAGCGGCCUAACACGCCGCCCUGUCAAGGCGGAGAUCGUGGGUUCGAAUCCCAUCGGGGCCG
This 74-nucleotide transfer RNA is filed under the name Dehalococcoidia bacterium. Its description in RNAcentral is "tRNA-Asp". It matches the Rfam family "tRNA". From Rfam's summary of the family: Transfer RNA (tRNA) molecules are approximately 80 nucleotides in length. Lineage: Bacteria; Bacillati; Chloroflexota; Dehalococcoidia. The record is from RNAcentral.